This 413-nucleotide long non-coding RNA is filed under the name Setaria italica (foxtail millet). RNAcentral's name for it is "long non-coding RNA (SITA_LNC007048)". The record is from RNAcentral. Lineage: Eukaryota; Viridiplantae; Streptophyta; Magnoliopsida; Poales; Poaceae.
GUACAACGACGACCACGCCACGGGGACCGGGCACGGCUUCGGCGGCGGCGUGUCCCUGACGCUCGGGCUGCAGCAGCACGCCGGCGACGACCCGCACGGUGGCGUGAACGUCGCGUUCGCGGCGGCCCCGUCCGCGGCGCACGAGUUCCUGUUCAUGGCGGGCGGCGAGCAUCAGCAGCAGAUGGUCGCGGCUGGCAGCGUCCACGGUCACCAUCAGGGCCAGUUCGGCGCCGGAAUGGAAGGCGACGCCGCCUCGCACUACCACCGGGGCCUCAGCGCCGCCACUGGAUUCCAGCUCCUCCACGACCUGGCUGGCUGAACGCGUUGGCAUCACGGGGGACGGACGGACGGACCGGCGCGAUCAUCAGAGCGGAGUGCUUUAAUUUGCUUUGGAGGUUCAUGCGAUGUUUGAC